Molecule: transfer RNA, 72 nt
Filed under: Kitasatospora griseola
Lineage: Bacteria; Bacillati; Actinomycetota; Actinomycetes; Kitasatosporales; Streptomycetaceae
Rfam family: tRNA
About the family: Transfer RNA (tRNA) molecules are approximately 80 nucleotides in length. Their secondary structure includes four short double-helical elements and three loops (D, anti-codon, and T loops).
Source: Rfam by way of RNAcentral
GCGUGUGUGGUGUAAGCGGUAACACUCCGACCGCGAAGGUCGGCAAUGCGGGUUCGAAUCCCGUCACGCGCU